This 120-nucleotide ribosomal RNA is filed under the name Lepisosteus oculatus (spotted gar). Lineage: Eukaryota; Metazoa; Chordata; Actinopteri; Semionotiformes; Lepisosteidae. The record is from RNAcentral.
UCUAAACAGCCAUAUCACCCUGCAACUCACAACUGGCAACCCACUGAAGCUAAGCAGGUGUGAGCCUGGUCAGUACCUGGAUGGGAGACCUCCUGGGAAAAACUAAGGUUGCUGCUGGAA